AACCUUACCUGGCAGGGGAGAUACCAUGAUCGUGAAGGUGGUUUUCCCAGGGAGAGGCUUAUCCAUUCCAUCCUGGAGGUGCUGAACCUGUGAUUUCUCCAAGUGUGGAAAACUCAACUGCAUAAUUUGUGGUAGGAUACUGCACCCAUGCUCUUCUCUG
Molecule: small nuclear RNA, 160 nt
Organism: Peromyscus maniculatus bairdii (prairie deer mouse)
Lineage: Eukaryota; Metazoa; Chordata; Mammalia; Rodentia; Cricetidae
Gene: U1
Rfam family: U1 spliceosomal RNA
About the family: U1 is a small nuclear RNA (snRNA) component of the spliceosome (involved in pre-mRNA splicing). Its 5' end forms complementary base pairs with the 5' splice junction, thus defining the 5' donor site of an intron.
Source: Ensembl